This 229-nucleotide ribosomal RNA is filed under the name uncultured bacterium. Its description in RNAcentral is "partial 16S ribosomal RNA". It matches the Rfam family "Bacterial small subunit ribosomal RNA", at positions 118 to 347 of the family's 1533-position model. The record is from RNAcentral.
UGAGCAAUCUGCCCUUCUCAUCGGAAUAAGCGUUGGAAACGACGUCUAAUGCCGAAUACGACCUCCUUUCGCAUGAUCGGAGGUGGAAAGCUCCGGCAGAGAAGGAUGAGCUCGCGGCCUAUCAGCUAGUUGGUGUGGGUAAUGGCCCACCAAGGCGACGACGGGUAGCCGGCCUGAGAGGGUGACCGGCCACACGUGGGGCUGAGACACGGCCCAGACUCCGUAGGAG